This 434-nucleotide ribosomal RNA is filed under the name uncultured bacterium. RNAcentral's name for it is "partial 16S ribosomal RNA". It matches the Rfam family "Bacterial small subunit ribosomal RNA", at positions 29 to 507 of the family's 1533-position model. The record is from RNAcentral.
AGCGAACGCUGGCGGCAAGCCUAACACAUGCAAGUCGAACGAACCUUUCGGGGUUAGUGGCGGACGGGUGAGUAACACGUGGGAACGUGCCUUUAGGUUCGGAAUAACUCAGGGAAACUUGUGCUAAUACCGAAUGUGCCCUUCGGGGGAAAGAUUUAUCGCCUUUAGAGCGGCCCGCGUCUGAUUAGCUAGUUGGUUGAGGUAAUGGCUCACCAAGGCGACGAUCAGUAGCUGGUCUGAGAGGAUGAUCAGCCACAUUGGGACUGAGACACGGCCCAAACUCCUACGGGAGGCAGCAGUGGGGAAUCUUGCGCAAUGGGCGAAAGCCUGACGCAGCCAUGCCGCGUGAAUGAUGAAGGUCUUAGGAUUGUAAAAUUCUUUCACCGGGGACGAUAAUGACGGUACCCGGAGAAGAAGCCCCGGCUAACUUCGUG